RNAcentral lists this ribosomal RNA (712 nucleotides) under uncultured bacterium. RNAcentral describes it as "bacterial SSU rRNA". It matches the Rfam family "Bacterial small subunit ribosomal RNA", at positions 104 to 810 of the family's 1533-position model. The record is from RNAcentral.
GGGUGAGUAACGCGUAUGCGACCUGCCCGUUGCAGGGGGAUAAUCGGGAGAAAUCCCGUCUAAUACCGCGUAACGCCGCGGGGCUGCAUGGCCCUGCGGCCAAAGGGAGCGAUUCCGGCAACGGAUGGGCAUGCGUGACAUUAGCUAGUUGGCGGGGCAACGGCCCACCAAGGCGACGAUGUCUAGGGGUUCUGAGAGGAAGGUCCCCCACACUGGUGCUGAGACACGGACCAGACUCCUACGGGAGGCAGCAGUGAGGAAUAUUGGUCAAUGGGCGCGAGCCUGAACCAGCCAAGUCGCGUGAGGGAUGACGGCCCUACGGGUUGUAAACCUCUUUUGUCGGGGAGCAAAUUCCGCCACGUGUGGCGGAGUCGAGAGUACCCGAAGAAAAAGCAUCGGCUAACUCCGUGCCAGCAGCCGCGGUAAUACGGAGGAUGCGAGCGUUAUCCGGAUUUAUUGGGUUUAAAGGGUGCGUAGGCGGACUGUCAAGUCAGCGGUAAAAUACGGGGGCUCAACCUCCGCCCGCCGCUGAAACUGACGGUCUUGAGUGGGCGAGAAGUAUGCGGAAUGCGUGGUGUAGCGGUGAAAUGCAUAGAUAUCACGCAGAACUCCGAUUGCGAAGGCAGCAUACCGGCGCCCAACUGACGCUGAAGCACGAAAGCGUGGGUAUCGAACAGGAUUAGAUACCCUGGUAGUCCACGCAGUAAACGAU